RNAcentral lists this microRNA (22 nucleotides) under Populus tomentosa. Its description in RNAcentral is "Pto-N10". The record is from RNAcentral. Lineage: Eukaryota; Viridiplantae; Streptophyta; Magnoliopsida; Malpighiales; Salicaceae.
CCCUGCCCUUACCAUAUCCAAG